Molecule: unclassified non-coding RNA, 333 nt
Filed under: soil metagenome
Description: partial contains 5.8S ribosomal RNA, internal transcribed spacer 2, and large subunit ribosomal RNA
Rfam family: 5.8S ribosomal RNA (bases 1-120)
Source: RNAcentral
GAUGAAGAACGUAGCGAAAUGCGAUAAGUAGUGUGAAUUGCAGAAUUCAGUGAAUCAUCGAAUCUUUGAACGCACAUUGCGCCCCUUGGUAUUCCAUGGGGCAUGCCUGUUCGAGCGUCAUUUGUACCUUCAAGCUUUGCUUGGUGUUGGGUGUUUGUCCAUUCUCUUGCAGAGGGACUCGCCUUAAAGUAAUUGGCAGCCAGUGUUUUGGUUUUGAAGCGCAGCACAAGUCGCGAUUCAACGCUAUACGCCAGCUUCCACAAGCCUUUUUCACUUUUGACCUCGGAUCAGGUAGGGAUACCCGCUGAACUUAAGCAUAUCAAUAGCGGAGGA